AUUGAACGCUGGCGGAAUGCUUUACACAUGCAAGUCGAACGGUAGAGGGGGCAACCCCUCGAGAGUGGCGAACGGGUGAGUAAUAUAUCGGAACGUGCCCAGUCGUGGGGGAUAACGUAGCGAAAGUUACGCUAAUACCGCAUACGAUCUAAGGAUGAAAGCGGGGGAUCGCAAGACCUCGCGCGAUUGGAGCGGCCGAUAGCAGAUUAGGGAGUUGGUGGGGUAAAGGCUCACCAAGCCAACGAUCUGUAGCUGGUCUGAGAGGACGACCAGCCAGACUGGAACUGAGACCCGGUCCAGCGUCCUACGGGAGGCAGCAGUGGGGAAUUUUGGACAGUGGACGCAAGUCGGAUCCAGCCAUUCCGCGUGCAGGAUGAGGGCUCUCGGGUUGUAAACUGCUUUUGUACGGAACGAAAAGGUCUCUCUUAAUACGGGGGGCUCAUGACGGUACCGUAAGAAUAAGCACCGGCUAACUACGUGCCAGCCGCCGCCGUAA
This 496-nucleotide ribosomal RNA is filed under the name uncultured bacterium. RNAcentral describes it as "partial 16S ribosomal RNA". It matches the Rfam family "Bacterial small subunit ribosomal RNA", at positions 30 to 523 of the family's 1533-position model. The record is from RNAcentral.